This 426-nucleotide ribosomal RNA is filed under the name Triticum aestivum (bread wheat). RNAcentral's name for it is "partial small subunit ribosomal RNA". The record is from RNAcentral. Lineage: Eukaryota; Viridiplantae; Streptophyta; Magnoliopsida; Poales; Poaceae.
AUGCUGACGUUGAAGGUGUGCUCGUCGACGAGGUGGAAGACACAGAGGUCCCCGACCUUGAUCCCAUGGUGGCCGGAGAAGUGGCCCCACCCAGCCUUCAUGCGCGCCUGGUCGCUCGUCAGCGUCAGCUUCACGGGCCACGACCUCCCGCCCGAGUCCUUGAGUAUCAUCAGCCGGUUCGUCGCGAUGCCGUUCAUGACGCAGAACUUCUUCCCGAUGUUCUACACGAGCUGUAGCGAAUGUUGCAAGGAGUCGCCGUCUUGGCGUAGAAAGGGAGGGUGCCGGUGUACUCGGACUCCUUGGCCUCCGUUGCGAUGCCGGAGUGGGUGUCCGCUUGGGCGUACUUCUCUGUGGUGGCAUCUUGCUCGCCAUCAUUGUCUUCCAUCAGAAUCCUGCGAGGUUUGUACUGCUUCUUUGCCUGUAUGA